GAUGAAGAACGGAGCGAAAUGUGAUAAGUAAUGUGAAUUGCAGAAUUCAGUGAAUCAUCGAAUCUUUGAACGCACAUUGCGCCCGCCAGUAUUCUGGCGGGCAUGCCUGUCUGAGCGUCAUUUCAACCCUCAUGCCCCUAGGGCGUGGUGUUGGGGAUCGGCCAAAGCCCGCGAGGGACGGCCGGCCCCUAAAUCUAGUGGCGGACCCGUCGUGGCCUCCUCUGCGAAGUAGUGAUAUUCCGCAUCGGAGAGCGAUGAGCCCCUGCCGUUAAACCCCCAACUUUCCAAGGUUGACCUCAGAUCAGGUAGGAAUACCCGCUGAACUUAAGCAUAUCAAUAAGCGGAGGA
This 348-nucleotide unclassified non-coding RNA is filed under the name soil metagenome. RNAcentral describes it as "partial contains 5.8S ribosomal RNA, internal transcribed spacer 2, and large subunit ribosomal RNA". The stretch from base 1 to 120 matches the Rfam family "5.8S ribosomal RNA", at positions 35 to 154 of the family's 154-position model. The record is from RNAcentral.